UUUUAGGGGUGCCCUUCCCGUUGGAUGGGCUGAGAUCAAACCCUUUCACCUGAACCGGGUAAUGCCGGCGUAGAGAAUAAA
This 81-nucleotide non-coding RNA is filed under the name pig gut metagenome. The record is from RNAcentral.